This is a non-coding RNA of Pteronotus mesoamericanus, 696 nucleotides long. The record is from the annotation of a RefSeq genome assembly. Lineage: Eukaryota; Metazoa; Chordata; Mammalia; Chiroptera; Mormoopidae.
UCAGGGGCUGCGGGCACCAUGGCCUGGACUCCUCUCCUCCUCGUGCUCCUCUCUCAGUGCACAGGUUCCCUCUCGCAGCCUGUGCUGACCCAGCCGCCCUCCCUCUCUGUGUCUCCGGGAGGAACGGCCCGACUCACCUGCACCCUCAGCAGUGGCUUCAAUGUUGGCAGCUAUGCUAUAUCCUGGUUCCAGCAGAAGCCAGGGAGCCCUCCGCGGUAUCUGCUGUCCUACUACUCAGACUCAAUCAAGCACCAGGGCUCCGGGGUCCCCAGCCGCUUCUCUGGGUCCAAAGACGCCUCGGCCAACGCCGGGCUCCUGACCAUCUCUGGGCUGCAGCCUGAGGACGAGGCCGACUAUUACUGCCAGACUUACGAUGGUAGUGCUACUAAUUACACAGUGCUCCAGACUCAGGGGGAAGUGAGACAAAAACUCCCCAGAGCUUCCCCUUCUGGGUCUGUCCUCGGCCUGUCUCCGCCAAGGAGGGCUGCUCUCUUCUGUCUCCUGCCGGAAAGAUCCUGGGCCCAGUCUGUGCUGACUCAGCCGCCCUCAGGGUCUACGGCCCUCGGACAGAGGGUCACCAUCUCCUGCACUGGAAGCAGCUGCACUGGAACCAACAUUGAGUAUGACUAUGUCCUCUGGUACCAGAAGUUCCCAGGGACGGCCCCUAAACUCCUGGUCUAUCAUGAGAGCCAUUAA